Drosophila sulfurigaster albostrigata is the source of this 652-nucleotide long non-coding RNA. RefSeq lists it as uncharacterized. Lineage: Eukaryota; Metazoa; Arthropoda; Insecta; Diptera; Drosophilidae. The transcript has 2 exons. The record is from RefSeq and is a predicted model, not a curated record.
CGUCAUAGAAUUAUAUUUUUGGCAUAUUUUAUUUUAUUUUUGCAGUCAUCCUCUGCAGCGCAGUCAAGUUGAAAUUAAUUUUCAAUUAAUAGAAGAAAAAAUACGCAAUUUGAAACAUAUUUAUGAAUAAAUUGAACUAGCCGCAAGCUUAAAUCAGAGCAUGUUGAAAAGCAAUUAAAGCCAGACGUUGCCAGGCUUAAAGUGGCCUCCUGCAAAUGUCCUUGAUGUAGCCUAGCAACCAUUGCCCAGCUCAGGUAUGCUGUUUGGCUGGCCAGCUAGAGGGCAGGAUAGGAUAGGGGUCAGAAGUAUGUAGGAGGUCUACAUAGUCAGAUUAACCACAAUCGAAUGCCAACGGCAACCGAUAGGCUUACAAUUAGCUAUGCUUACGCACUACAAAUGGCCAUUCAGCAUGCCAUGGUCAACAUGUUGGGCUCUGAUAAGCACCUGUCAUUGAAGUCGACUCUCAGAGUCUGAGAGUUACAAGCAGAGCGCAAACAACAAGACCAGAAGAAGAAAACAAACAAUCCGGAAAGUGUCUAUGAUGGACUGAGAGAUUUAUUAUUAUGUUCACUCUCGUAGUAUUAUUAUUAUUUGUUUAGCACAUCGAGAAGAGCAUCUGGCUACCAGCAAUGCAGCGAAUGGUGAAUAACUU